UAUGGCCUAAGUUGGUGAUUUCCAUUGCCUAAGAGACUUAAGUGGUCGAGCCUACAUUAUAAUUUGUAAUAAUGGGGGCUUGUAAUAACUACUAAUGUUAGAUAAAAGUAAAGAUGUUAAGAUAACUUUAUCACAAGCAAAUUCAAGUAUGUUUGAUGAAAGAUAAUGUGUGGAAUAUCCCAAGCAUCAUGUACGCUCUUUUGAAU
RNAcentral lists this long non-coding RNA (206 nucleotides) under Nicotiana benthamiana. Its description in RNAcentral is "long non-coding RNA (NBEN_LNC013036)". The record is from RNAcentral. Lineage: Eukaryota; Viridiplantae; Streptophyta; Magnoliopsida; Solanales; Solanaceae.